This 524-nucleotide ribosomal RNA is filed under the name Psychrobacter faecalis. Its description in RNAcentral is "bacterial SSU rRNA". It matches the Rfam family "Bacterial small subunit ribosomal RNA", at positions 554 to 1077 of the family's 1533-position model. The record is from RNAcentral. Lineage: Bacteria; Pseudomonadati; Pseudomonadota; Gammaproteobacteria; Moraxellales; Moraxellaceae.
CUGGGCGUAAAGCGAGCGUAGGUGGCUUGAUAAGUCAGAUGUGAAAGCCCCGGGCUUAACCUGGGAACGGCAUCUGAUACUGUUAGGCUAGAGUAGGUGAGAGGAAGGUAGAAUUCCAGGUGUAGCGGUGAAAUGCGUAGAGAUCUGGAGGAAUACCGAUGGCGAAGGCAGCCUUCUGGCAUCAUACUGACACUGAGGUUCGAAAGCGUGGGUAGCAAACAGGAUUAGAUACCCUGGUAGUCCACGCCGUAAACGAUGUCUACUAGUCGUUGGGUCCCUUGAGGACUUAGUGACGCAGCUAACGCAAUAAGUAGACCGCCUGGGGAGUACGGCCGCAAGGUUAAAACUCAAAUGAAUUGACGGGGGCCCGCACAAGCGGUGGAGCAUGUGGUUUAAUUCGAUGCAACGCGAAGAACCUUACCUGGUCUUGACAUAUCUAGAAUCCUGCAGAGAUGCGGGAGUGCCUUCGGGAAUUAGAAUACAGGUGCUGCAUGGCUGUCGUCAGCUCGUGUCGUGAGAUGUUG